CAGCAGCCGCGGUAAUACGAAGGGGGCUAGCGUUGUUCGGAUUUACUGGGCGUAAAGCGCACGUAGGCGGACUUUUAAGUCAGGGGUGAAAUCCCGGGGCUCAACCCCGGAACUGCCUUUGAUACUGGAAGUCUUGAGUAUGGUAGAGGUGAGUGGAAUUCCGAGUGUAGAGGUGAAAUUCGUAGAUAUUCGGAGGAACACCAGUGGCGAAGGCGGCUCACUGGACCAUUACUGACGCUGAGGUGCGAAAGCGUGGGGAGCAAACAGGAUUAGAUACCCGCGUAGUCCCUGUCUCUUAUAU
This 301-nucleotide ribosomal RNA is filed under the name uncultured bacterium. Its description in RNAcentral is "partial 16S ribosomal RNA". It matches the Rfam family "Bacterial small subunit ribosomal RNA", at positions 509 to 809 of the family's 1533-position model. The record is from RNAcentral.